GGUUUCAUAAUGUAGCAGUUAGCAUGUCUGCUUUACAUGCAGAAGUUCCUGGGUUCAUGCUCCAGUGUAGCCA
Molecule: transfer RNA, 73 nt
Filed under: Pteropus alecto (black flying fox)
Lineage: Eukaryota; Metazoa; Chordata; Mammalia; Chiroptera; Pteropodidae
Rfam family: tRNA
About the family: Transfer RNA (tRNA) molecules are approximately 80 nucleotides in length. Their secondary structure includes four short double-helical elements and three loops (D, anti-codon, and T loops). Further hydrogen bonds mediate the characteristic L-shaped molecular structure. tRNAs have two regions of fundamental functional importance: the anti-codon, which is responsible for specific mRNA codon recognition, and the 3' end, to which the tRNAs corresponding amino acid is attached (by aminoacyl-tRNA synthetases). tRNAs cope with the degeneracy of the genetic code in two manners: having more than one tRNA (with a specific anti-codon) for a particular amino acid; and 'wobble' base-pairing, i.e. permitting non-standard base-pairing at the 3rd anti-codon position.
Source: Rfam by way of RNAcentral